This 310-nucleotide unclassified non-coding RNA is filed under the name Hevea brasiliensis (rubber tree). Lineage: Eukaryota; Viridiplantae; Streptophyta; Magnoliopsida; Malpighiales; Euphorbiaceae. The record is from RNAcentral.
GCUUGAUCUUCAUGCGCAUUGGACGGUUGAUGAUGAUGCCGAAGGGUCCGUCUCCCGGGUCCUUGGUGCCCAGUCGGAGGAGGAGGACAACGGUUCUCUCGAAAGUCUGGGAUCCGUCUAGCUUCUCAGAGGCGAGCAACACGCAACCGAUUUCCGGUGAGGAAAUAGGAUGCGCCCACUGUAAACCGAGUCUUGGGGAUGGCUUAUGAGAGGAAGGGUCCUGGACUGGAGCAUCAGAAUCUACCUGUUGCACCUGCUGUUGAGCCACAAGCUUUGCCCUGAAUUCUCUCCAAUCUAAAAACGCAUAGCG